This is a non-coding RNA of Podarcis lilfordi (Lilford's wall lizard), 73 nucleotides long. The record is from the annotation of a GenBank genome assembly. NCBI's taxonomy places the organism in Eukaryota, Metazoa, Chordata, Lepidosauria, Squamata, Lacertidae.
GCUUGGGAUAGCUCUGCUGGUAGAGCACGAGACUGUUGAUAUCAGGGUUGUGGGUUCGAGGCCCAACUGGGCA